This 272-nucleotide ribosomal RNA is filed under the name uncultured bacterium. Its description in RNAcentral is "partial 16S ribosomal RNA". It matches the Rfam family "Bacterial small subunit ribosomal RNA", at positions 86 to 354 of the family's 1533-position model. The record is from RNAcentral.
CGCCGGCGACCGGCGCACGGGUGAGUAACACGUAUGCAACCUGGCCGUGACAGAUGGAUAACCGGGAGAAAUCCCGCCUAAUACAACAUAAUGCCGGGAGGGGACAUCCCCUGCCGGCCAAAGGGGGCGACCCCGGUCACGGAUGGGCAUGCGGCGCAUUAGGUAGUUGGUGGGGCAACGGCCCACCAAGCCGACGAUGCGUAGGGGUUCUGAGAGGAAGGUCCCCCACAUUGGAACUGAGACACGGUCCAAACUCCUACGGAAGGCAGCAG